UACAUAGGGUGCGAGCGUUGUCCGGAAUCACUGGGCGUAAAGGGCGCGUAGGCGGCCCCUUAAGUCUGAUGUGAAAGCCCACGGCUCAACCGUGGAGGGUCAUUGGAAACUGGGGAACUUGAGUGCAGAAGAGAAAAGCGGAAUUCCACGUGUAGCGGUGAAAUGCGUAGAGAUGUGGAGGAACACCAGUGGCGAAGGCGGCUUUUUGGUCUGUAACUGACGCUGAGGCGCGAAAGCGUGGGGAGCAAACAGG
This 253-nucleotide ribosomal RNA is filed under the name uncultured bacterium. Its description in RNAcentral is "partial 16S ribosomal RNA". It matches the Rfam family "Bacterial small subunit ribosomal RNA", at positions 524 to 776 of the family's 1533-position model. The record is from RNAcentral.